UGGAAUCCCUAGUAAUCGCGCGUCACUAUCGCGCGGUGAAUACGUCCCUGCUCCUUGCACACACCGCCCGUCGUUCCACCCAAGCGGAGUCCGGGUGAGGCGUGGUCCUUAGGGCUGCGUCGAAUCCGGGCUUCGUGAGGGGGGAAAAGUCGUAACAAGGUGGCCGUAGGGGAACCUGCGGCCGGAUCACCUCCUAAG
RNAcentral lists this ribosomal RNA (198 nucleotides) under Candidatus Bathyarchaeota archaeon. RNAcentral's name for it is "partial 16S ribosomal RNA". It matches the Rfam family "Archaeal small subunit ribosomal RNA", at positions 1283 to 1478 of the family's 1478-position model. Lineage: Archaea; Thermoproteati; Candidatus Bathyarchaeota. The record is from RNAcentral.